This 458-nucleotide ribosomal RNA is filed under the name uncultured bacterium. RNAcentral's name for it is "partial 16S ribosomal RNA". It matches the Rfam family "Bacterial small subunit ribosomal RNA", at positions 338 to 795 of the family's 1533-position model. The record is from RNAcentral.
CCUACGGGUGGCAGCAGUGAGGAAUAUUGGUCAAUGGGCGAGAGCCUGAACCAGCCAAGUCGCGUGAGGGAGUACUGCCCUAUGGGUUGUAAACCUCUUUUGUCGGGGAGCAAAAGCCGGACGGGUCCGGCUGUGAGAGUACCCGAAGAAAAAGCAUCGGCUAACUCGGUGCCAGCAGCCGCGGUAAUACGGAGGAUGCGGGCGUUAUCCCGGUUUAUUGGGGUUAAAGGGUGCGCAGGGGGAUUAUUAAGUCAGCGGGCAAAUCGUGGGGCUUAACCCCAUCCAGCCGUUGAAACUGGGCGUCUAGAGUGUGCGUGAGGUAUGCGGAAUGCGUGGUGUAGCGGUGAAAUGCAUAGAUAUCACGCAGAACCCCGAUUGCGAAGGCAGCAUACCGGUGCACAACUGACGCUCAGGCACGAAAGCGUGGGUAUCGAACAGGAUUAGAUACCCGAGUAGUC